UUAAAAAGCUCGUAGUCGGAUUUUGGCUGAGAACGGUCGGUCCGCCGUUAGGUGUGCACUGACUGGUCUCAGCUUCCUGGUGAGGAGGUGUGCUUCAUCGCCACUUAGUCACCGUGGUUACUUUGAAAAAAUUAGAGUGUUCAAAGCGGGCUUACGCUUGAAUAUUUCAGCAUGGAAUAACACUAUAGGACUCCUGUCCUAUUUCGUUGGUCUCGGGACGGGAGUAAUGAUUAAGAGGAACAGUUGGGGGCAUUCGUAUUUCAUUGUCAGAGGUGAAAUUCUUGGAUUUAUGAAAGACGAACUUCUGCGAAAGCAUUUGCCAAGGAUGUUUUCAUUAAUCAAGAACGAAAGUUGGGGGCUCGAAGAUGAUUAGAUACCAUCCUAGUCUCAACCAUAAACGAUGCCGACUAGGGAUUGGCGGAUGUUAAUUGAUGACUCCGCCAGCACCUUAUGAGAAAUCAAAGUUUUUGGGUUCCGGGGGGAAUAUGGUCGCAAGGCUGAAACUUAAA
RNAcentral lists this ribosomal RNA (509 nucleotides) under uncultured marine eukaryote. RNAcentral's name for it is "SSU rRNA". It matches the Rfam family "Eukaryotic small subunit ribosomal RNA", at positions 619 to 1148 of the family's 1831-position model. The record is from RNAcentral.